CCUACGGGUGGCAGCAGUGAGGAAUAUUGGUCAAUGGGCGCGAGCCUGAACCAGCCAAGUCGCGUGAGGGAAGACGGUCCUAUGGAUUGUAAACCUCUUUUGUCGGGGAGCAAAAGACGCCACGCGUGGCGUUCCGAGAGUACCCGAAGAAAAAGCAUCGGCUAACUCCGUGCCAGCAGCCGCGGUAAUACGGAGGAUGCGAGCGUUAUCCGGAUUUAUUGGGUUUAAAGGGUGCGCAGGCGGAAGAUCAAGUCAGCGGUAAAAUUGAGAGGCUCAACCUCUUCGAGCCGUUGAAACUGGUUGUCUUGAGUGAGUGUGAAGUAGGCGGAAUGCGGGGUGUAGCGGUGAAAUGCAUAGAUAUCACGCAGAACUCCGAUUGCGAAGGCAGCAUACCGGCGCUCAACUGACGCUCAUGCACGAAAGUGUGGGUAUCGAACAGGAUUAGAUACCCGGGUAGUC
Molecule: ribosomal RNA, 459 nt
Filed under: uncultured bacterium
Lineage: Bacteria
Description: partial 16S ribosomal RNA
Rfam family: Bacterial small subunit ribosomal RNA
Source: RNAcentral